CAAAUGGAAGAAUAUCGAUUACAAAACACUAUCAAAGACAUGACACAUAAGGAAAACACAAAGGAUACAACAAACUAGCAAAUAUCAUGUAAACCACUACUUGGUUAAAAGAUUGUAGCUGAACUAUAUUGCGGCUCUGUAACAAGAACGACGUUCAUGUGAACCAUUUUCUUGUAUUGCUGCUGCUCUGUACACAGUACACACAAGUCUUCCUUUUAUACAAGUUAAAUAGGACUCACGGUCCUUGCUUGUAUUAUUAAAUAAAUAUGGCGAAA
This 275-nucleotide long non-coding RNA is filed under the name Brassica rapa (field mustard). RNAcentral describes it as "long non-coding RNA (BRAP_LNC008000)". The record is from RNAcentral. Lineage: Eukaryota; Viridiplantae; Streptophyta; Magnoliopsida; Brassicales; Brassicaceae.